CAGAAAGCUCUGUGUCUCGUUAAAACCUGGGAGAUAGGGGGUGAAGAGACGGUGGGUUCUGUCUGCACGCCCCAUUUGACUCAGAAAUAUGGCUUCAUUGAGUAUGGAUUGGACUUUUCCCCCCUCUAUGCUUUCUGUGUGUGUGUGUCUGUGGGUGUGUGUGUGUGUGUGUGUGUGUGUGCGUGCGUGUGCGUGCAUGCGUGAGUGAGUGAAGCAACCCACUCUGUCAGGUUAAAGUGCUGAACAGCCUAAGGGGAGGGAUGGAAGGUAGAGAGACAGAGAGAGAGGAAGGUGAGGGAUGGAAGGUAGAGACAGAGAGAGAGGAAGGUGAGGGAUGGAAGGUAGAGAGACAGAGAGAGAGGAAGGUGAGGGAUGGAAGGUAGAGAGAGGAAGGUGAGGGAUGGAAGGUAGAGAGACAGAGAGAGAGGAAGGUGAGGGAUGGAAGGUAGAGAGACAGAGAGAGAGGAAGGUGAGGGAUGGAAGGUAGAGACAGAGAGAGAGGAAGGUGAGGGAUGGAAGGUAGAGAGACAGAGAGAGAGGAAGGUGGGGGAUGGAAGGUAGAGAGAGGAAGGUGAGGGAUGGAAGGUAGAGACAGAGAGAGGAAGGUGAGGGAUAGAAGGUAGAGAGACAGAGAGAGGAAGGUGAGGGGUGGAAGGUAGAGAGGAAAAGGGAG
Molecule: long non-coding RNA, 673 nt
Organism: Oncorhynchus tshawytscha (Chinook salmon)
Lineage: Eukaryota; Metazoa; Chordata; Actinopteri; Salmoniformes; Salmonidae
Source: Ensembl